This 469-nucleotide ribosomal RNA is filed under the name uncultured bacterium. Its description in RNAcentral is "partial 16S ribosomal RNA". It matches the Rfam family "Bacterial small subunit ribosomal RNA", at positions 28 to 507 of the family's 1533-position model. The record is from RNAcentral.
GACGAACGCUGGCGGCGUGCUUAACACAUGCAAGUCGAACGGAAAGGCCCUGCUUGCAGGGUGCUCGAGUGGCGAACGGGUGAGUAACACGUGGGUGAUCUGCCCCUUACUUUGGGAUAAGCCUGGGAAACGGGGUCUAAUAUGGGUAAGGACAAUGUGGUGGUGGGUGGGGUGGAAGGAUUAGUUUGGGUAAGGGAUGAGCUCGGGGCUUAUCAGCUGGUUGGGGGGGUAAUGGCCUACCAAGGCGUCGACGGGUAGCCGGCCUGAGAGGGUGGACGGCCACAGUGGGACUGAGAUACGGCCCAGACUCCUACGGGAGGCAGCAGUGGGGAAUAUUGCACAAUGGGCGCAAGCCUGAUGCAGCGACGCCGCGUGGGGGAUGACGGCCUUCGGGUUGUAAACUCCUUUCAGCCAUGACGAAGCCCUUGUGGUGACGGUAGUGGUAGAAGAAGCACCGGCUAACUACGUG